AGGGUUUGAUUCUGGCUCAGGACGAACGCUGGCGGCGUGCCUAACACAUGCAAGUCGAACGAAGCUUGACGAUAGAUUCUUCGGAUGAAAUCAGAUAUGACUGAGUGGCGGACGGGUGAGUAACGCGUGAGGAACCUGCCCUUCGGAGGGGGAUAGCGUCUGGAAACGGACGGUAAUACCGCAUAAUGUAUUUUGAUGACAUCAUUUAAAUACCAAAGCUUUUGCGCCGAAGGAUGGCCUCGCGUCUGAUUAGAUAGUUGGUGGGGUAACGGCCUACCAAGUCGACGAUCAGUAGCCGGACUGAGAGGUUGAACGGCCACAUUGGGACUGAGACACGGCCCAG
RNAcentral lists this ribosomal RNA (343 nucleotides) under uncultured bacterium. RNAcentral describes it as "bacterial SSU rRNA". It matches the Rfam family "Bacterial small subunit ribosomal RNA", at positions 8 to 334 of the family's 1533-position model. The record is from RNAcentral.